UUUGGUGACAAUAGCACUGUGGUACCACCUGAUCCCAUGCCGAACUCAGAAGUGAAACGCAGUAGCGCCGAUGGUAGUGUGGGGUUUCCCCAUGUGAGAGUAGGUCAUCACCAAAC
Molecule: ribosomal RNA, 116 nt
Filed under: Motilimonas pumila
Lineage: Bacteria; Pseudomonadati; Pseudomonadota; Gammaproteobacteria; Alteromonadales
Source: RNAcentral